AUUGCCCAAGACCAGCCCUGCCACGUGCGCAGCCACCGGCGAGUCGGCGGCGACCUCGCUCUCCGGCCUUCUCCCCCCCUCGCCAUCGCCGGCCGCGAUGCGCAACUCCGGCGAACUGAUCCUCCCGGGUUGCCCGCCCCCGAUCCGCGUCUUCUCAGCCUCCAUUCACCGUCGGUGUGGUGGCUUGGCUUCGCUCGCAUCACCUCACCUCGCCCUCGUCGCUGGCGUCGCUCAGAUUCGAUCCACCUUCUGAUGAUCCCCUUCCCCCAAAUCAAUAGUCCUGUUCCAUUUGUUUUUUCGGUCUUGAACUAUUAGAUUGUUCCUCUGAUUCUUGAUGCUAGUAUAUUUAUUUAUAGCUGUAUAGUUUCAACUUAAUGUGCACUGCAUAUUUAUGAUGGAUAAUGCAAUGUUCAUGGCUUGAUGC
Molecule: small RNA, 424 nt
Filed under: Oryza sativa Japonica Group (Japanese rice)
Lineage: Eukaryota; Viridiplantae; Streptophyta; Magnoliopsida; Poales; Poaceae
Description: misc RNA Os10g0394400
Source: RNAcentral